AAUGCAAGUUGUUCUAUCGCUGUUAAUUUAUUAACAGAGGAAAGUCCGGGCAACAUAGGGCAAUCCGCCACCUGAAAGGGUGGGUGCAAAAACCGAAAUGUUUUUGUAACAGAAAGUGCCACAGAAAACAAGGUAGCCUUAUAACUUAGGUUAUGAGGUGAUAGUGAAAAUGUGAGGUAAGAGCUCACAAGCAUAAUUAGUGAUAAUUGUGUUGGGUAAACCUCGGAUGUUGAAAGGCCAAAUAGGUUGCGGUUUAAGGCGGCUCGUCUUAUUUCAGAAAUGAAAGCCGCAAUGGGUAGGUCGCAAAGAUAAAUGAUAGAAUAUACCCUUUCGGUUAAACGGAAGGAUGAAACAGAACCCGGCUUACAAACUUGCAAAAAAG
RNAcentral lists this RNase P RNA (382 nucleotides) under Bacteroidota bacterium. Its description in RNAcentral is "RNase P RNA component class A". It matches the Rfam family "Bacterial RNase P class A". From Rfam's summary of the family: Ribonuclease P (RNase P) is a ubiquitous endoribonuclease, found in archaea, bacteria and eukarya as well as chloroplasts and mitochondria. Its best characterised activity is the generation of mature 5'-ends of tRNAs by cleaving the 5'-leader elements of precursor-tRNAs. Cellular RNase Ps are ribonucleoproteins. Lineage: Bacteria; Pseudomonadati; Bacteroidota. The record is from RNAcentral.